RNAcentral lists this long non-coding RNA (2878 nucleotides) under Triticum aestivum (bread wheat). Its description in RNAcentral is "long non-coding RNA (TAES_LNC013264)". The record is from RNAcentral. Lineage: Eukaryota; Viridiplantae; Streptophyta; Magnoliopsida; Poales; Poaceae.
UCCAAACCGCCUCCAGCCACCUCGGGCCUCCCCAGCGCACCCGACGAGACGCCUCGACGUCCGAGACACGGCAGCUGGUCGGCCCCCUCCUUCCUCUCUCUUUCCUGGCCCUACUCACACGCGCACCAUGGCCGCCCGAGAGCUCCAAUGAGCACACUCACACGCGCCAUGCCCUGACGCUCCCCCGCUCCUUCUCUCCCUUCCUCUGGGCGUAGACCACCCCUACGAACACCCCGGACACGCCCACGUGAGCCCCCGUGACAUACAGCGACGACAACAACCUCGCCGGCGCAUGGUUCCACGGCAAGCCCUGGCCCGGCUAUAUAAGACCUCCCCGAGGCCUCCUCUCCUCACCACUCGACCUCUGCAGCUCCAAAACACCCCCUGAACCACCCACUCCUCUCCAGAAGCACCCGAGCUCGAGAUCGAGCUCGCGCUCCGCCGCUUUGGCUCGCCGGAGUUCGCGAGGUACAUGCCUCCCUCGCUCCUUCUCUGCCUCGAUCUGGAACCCCCGAACACCCCUGAUUGUUUUCCCCAUGUUUCCCCUCUCUGUAGCUGCCGGAAACAGCCGGAACCGUCGCCACCCGAAGCUCCUCCGCCGCGUGACCUCGUCGCCGGCGAACUAGGCCACCCCGGCGACCGCAACCACCUCCACCUGCACGGCGACUCUGCGCUGAGUCCAAUCCUGCCCUCCUCUCGCCUCGCCGUGCCCUGCAUUGUCGCCGGUGAGCCCGUCGGCCCUCUGUCGCAGGGUUAGGGAUGACAGGUGGGUCCCUCUUGUCAGCCUCUCCUCUCCAUCGACCCUCUCUCUCUCGCUGACGCAUGGGCCCCGCCCGUCAGGUUUAAACCUGGCCCGCGCGUGCACCAGUGCGCUGGGCCGCCUCUCUGGCUGGGCCUGCUGCGCUGCGGCUGUUCUGGCCCAGCAGGCACAUUACCCUUCUCCUUUUUCUUUUUUGUCAAACUUGUAAAAAUUCCAUAGGAUUAAAUAUUCAUCCAAAUGCAAUAAUUCCAACUCCCAUAUUUUUGUAAAAAUCCCACCUAUUUAAUGGUAUAACUUUCAUUCAUGUCCAACCAACUUUUAUGUACUGUUCAUAUUCAAAUUCAAAUUUGAAUAUAUUUAAACCCCUCUGAAAAUCCAUUUCAUCUAUUCUGCUACUCCAAGUCAAAAACUAGGAAUUUCCCCUUCUUAGUUUUCACCCUAGUAUUUAAAAAAAAUGAGUUGACAUUUUUCUGAGCACUUUGGUUUUUCAGUUUUAUUACUGCCUUAUUUUUCUCGUUAUUAUUUUGCGACGAUAGAUUGCGUUGCUAACGAAGGAGUUGGACCAGAAGACUUUGAAGACCUAGAAGACUUUGUUGAGCCAGGCAAGCAGCCCUUUGACCAUACCGUGAAACCUUUUUAUGCAUGCCAUAUAGCUCUUUUAUUGCUUGCAUCGGAGACAUGAUGAUGAGGUGACCACAUGGGGUGGUUUGCCACCGUUACUUCCUCGUUGAUACUUGCAUCGUGCAUGACCCUACCUCCUUAUGAGGUUUAUGCCGGUGGGAGUAGGUAGGAUGCUGGAGUAGUUGCUACGCAAAAUGGGAUGGGCAUAUGCAUGGUAAUGCAGACAAAGUAUUUUCAAAAGACUUUUGUCGAAAACCCCGUCGGGUGCCACUUAUGCCCGAGGGAGAUAAUGAGAUGGGUAACCACUUGAUGAUGAAGUGGUGUACCGAGGCAAGUGUGUGUGUUGUUUCCGAAAACGGAUUAGAUUUAAGAUUUGUCGACUGUCCCAACCUUACAUGCGCAACCACUCUAGCCUUAUAUGGGAAAGGGCAUUAUUGAUUACCUAGGCCGAUAGUAGCUUGGAGCCCGCAUUACUAGUGACGGGAGAGUCGUUGUUGCUCUCUCUCGGGACGGGGUCAUGCCAGGUAGGGCGGCCAUGACUGUUUUUACAGGGCACCGGACACACCGUUGGUACCCCGUGCCAGUGGUAUGUGAUGAAUAUGGGAGCGAGGCUCCACAAUUUUAAGAUGUGAAAUGUUGGGCACGGGGGUUACUACCAAUCGAGUGAACUCUAUGUUAGCGUCGUCUAGGGAAAGAUAGUGAUCGGGUGCUUACCCCGGGUACUUGAGGUACCGUGGGUCGUGGAUGACACGGAAGUUCCCCGGAUCUUGUGGGUAAAGUGCGCAACCUCUGCAGAGUGUAAAACUAUUCGAAUAGCCGUGUCCACGGUCAAGGACAGUUGGGCGAUGCUGCUUAAACUACGUCCAGAAUUUUUCAAACCGCGCGUGUGUGUGUUGGUAAAACUAUUUGGGUUAAGUCAGAUGGCUUGACACGAUGAUCAAGUUGGAUUGGUGUCCAACUCCGCUUAUGUUGAUAUCUGUAAUUUGUUCAUAUGGAUAUCUGUACUCUCAUGAUGCAUACUUCACAGGUUGAUAGAUCAUGUCAUUGCACUCAAAACUAGCUUUCUGCAAACUACCUACUUAGUGCUAUAUCAUUGCAUUAUUGUGCCUUGUUCCAAUCAUGGGUUGCUUGCGAGUACAUUCAAAAUACUCAUUGGCUUUCCACAGGUUAUUUAAUUGGCCAGGCAUGGAAGAAUAGGACUUCAAAGAAGAGUUCUUUGGAGGCAAACAUGUGAACUAGGAUGUUUCCCAGUCAGAAUGCCUGUAGGGUUAAGGCAGAUGGCAUGGGUUCUACUUAUCGACGAAGAUUUCCGCUGCUUAAGUUUAUUUGGUAUUUAGACCUUGUGGCUUUAUCUAUGUAAGACUUGACCAUAAUGGUCAUAAUUUGUGUAAGACGGUAUGUAUGGAUGUAAGACUCUUGUUAUUCAGCUUCUGUGUGUUCAGUGAGCAUUGAUCUCUGGGAUCACUGUACACGUGCAUUCGGUGAUCUCGACUUAUG